GACAUACACCGGAUCGGGCGUAGAGAUAGUCUUUUCCCCUUUGUGGCUGGUGUACAGGUGGUGCAUGGUUGUCGUCAGCUCGUGUCGUGAGAUGUUGGGUUAAGUCCCGCAACGAGCGCAACCCUUGUCUUAUGUUGCCAGCACGUGAUGGUGGGGACUCAUGAGAGACUGCCGGGGUUAACUCGGAGGAAGGUGGGGAUGACGUCAAAUCAUCAUGCCCCUUAUGUCCAGGGCUUCACACAUGCUACAAUGGUCGGUACAACGCGUGUGCGACACUGUGAGGUGAAGCUAAUCGCUCUAAAGCCGGUCGUAGUUCGGAUUGGGGUCUGCAACUCGACCCCAUGAAGUCGGAGUCGCUAGUAAUCGCAGAUCAGCAACGCUGCGGUGAAUACGUUCCCGGGCCUU
RNAcentral lists this ribosomal RNA (405 nucleotides) under uncultured Corynebacterium sp. Its description in RNAcentral is "bacterial SSU rRNA". It matches the Rfam family "Bacterial small subunit ribosomal RNA", at positions 983 to 1382 of the family's 1533-position model. Lineage: Bacteria; Bacillati; Actinomycetota; Actinomycetes; Mycobacteriales; Corynebacteriaceae. The record is from RNAcentral.